Bombus huntii is the source of this 11607-nucleotide long non-coding RNA. RefSeq lists it as uncharacterized. Lineage: Eukaryota; Metazoa; Arthropoda; Insecta; Hymenoptera; Apidae. The record is from RefSeq and is a predicted model, not a curated record. The transcript has 2 exons.
GACACAGAAAUACAUUUUAUUAAAAAAAACCUGCUAUUAAUGUAAACACUCUAUGUACGCAUUAAUACAGGUACAAUGUUGAAGAUAAUUCAACGCAUUAACAAACUACCUCAGUCUAAGUGUCCUAAUACUUAUGGUUAGCACUGUACAUUUCUUUUUACGACUCCGUAAAACAACCAAUUCUGCAAACACGAGCCGCGAGUACGAUCGAUGAUAUGGAUUAAACGUAUGACGUAGGUAUAAGUUUUUAGUACUUUCCGACAAACCGACGCUAUAGUCAAAAAAAAAAAAAAAAAAAAAAAAAAGAAAAGAAAAGAAAAGAAACGAGGGCUAAUUUGGUAAAUCUAUUUUUAGUGCAGCUCCUCAUAGGUAUCAUUGUCUUAUCGCGACAAGUAUAUUUAGUAGAUAUAGUUAUAUACCAUAGUAAAUUUAUCCUCGAUAUUCCGAACGAUUACGCCCGAAGAAGAGACGAUAGUCCUGCAUCGUCGCUAAAAUUCUCUGCAAUUGUCCUGCAUUGCCGUUAUAUUCUGUGAUAGCAUCGGGACAAAAGAAUAAAAGUACUGUACCACUUAGCAAAGCUUAUCGCAUUAUGCAGUAACGGGUACCGUAGACACGCGUGCCUGUCCGCUUCUCACGUAAUAACGUCGGAAAGGCGGCAAUCGAUGCAGAUAAAAUAUUCGUGGGCAGUAUUCGCGCCGCUUUUCCAGGAAGCAACCUGAACGAGCGGCGUCAGUACUAUAGGAAGCACUGAUAAAGCAUGUACCGGCGUUGUUUCAUGGUCCCCGACGUGGUCGCCACGAGAGAGACACCGGUUGUGCGUUGCGUGCGACGCCAGGCGUCGGUCUAGGCGUCGUGGCGCCUCGACUUACCCUCCCCGUCUGUCAGUCGCCACGUAGGGUUAAACAGAAGCUCGAAGGUAGACUGACCUCGCAGACGUAGCUGUCCUUGGCCUCGGAAAAAGCCAAAAUUAGAAAUGGCACUUAGUAACGCGGAGAAAGAGAUUGGAGAAUGUUCAUACAGAAAGGGAAGUGAUGGGAAGUGGUAGAGGUCUGCUGUACAGUUGUCUGGAACGGAAAUGGGAUAAUGCAAUUGUCCCUCCUAUCAGCGGGGGAUUACUCAGUUCUCUACAAAUACACUCGGGGAUACAGGAAUUUUAAGCAUGCGAACAGUACACUUGCGCAUGGCUCGCCUUUCAUAGCCUCGGCUGUUACUUAUUGUUAGAGUUAAUACUAAUCUAAUGCGGCGAAAAUGAUAUCGAGAAAAUCAUCGAAACUUCCUGUCGAAACCAUUAUAUGUCAAAAAAUUCCAAAAUAUAGAUUGAUCGAGAAGAAAGAAUUAUAAAGUUUUAUGUUAGUGUGAUGUUGGGUCGAUUUCCAAAAUACGUAAUUCCAAAGUAAUUGUAGGAGAAAAAUCGAGUCAAAUUGCGCGGGAACAUCGAAUCCUCCGCUACCAUUUUCUCGUCAUCCAUUUUCUAUUUUCUAGGACGUCAUUGGUCUGGAAACGAAUUUUCAGCGAGUUCUCUGAUUGCGAGAUGUAUGAUAAAGCUUUAUCGAUGACCUGUGUGUGUCACAUAAUUUCCUGGGAAUGACCAGCGCGAUGAAUCAUUGUGCUUGAAUCGAGAAAUAUCACGCAAGAGCGAUAAUAGACGAGAAAAUUGUCAUUGUUAUCUGAACAAAAAAUAUUUAAAACAACGGGCCAGGAAAUUUCUGUCGAACAAUCAUAUCGUUCAAUGUUAUUCUGCUAAAAAAUUGUGUGUAAAAAUUUACUUUUGUCAGAUAAUUAUUCAGAAUCGAACGAACUAAAAGUAACAAUAGUUUAGUAACUGGUAGUCAGUAAUUUUCCAUUAUUUCAGUUAAACGUAAUAAUUAAAAUCAAAUAAUUACUCUCCAAAUUAUACUGUCGACACUAACGAAUCGCACAGGUCGUCGAUUACGAUGUAGUAUAAUGUAAUACAUGUCCUCAAAAUAACAUAUGUUGUAUAUUAUACAUAUAUAGUAUGUAUGUAUUAAGCUCCUGCAAUUUGCAGUGAGUCACGAAUCUGUUGGUCGAAUUAUCAAGCGCAACAUACAAGCAGAUCUCGUACAACAAUUCUAUACGUAAUUAUAUAUACGAUUAUGUAUACAAAAAAUGGUCACUAAAACGUUUCUUUGUUUGUCUCGACCACGUCGAAAUUACGUCGGAGUUUGCCUUCUAUGUAAAAAAAGUAAAAGUACAUUUUAUGUUCUACUAGAUUCACGACUAAUUCUGACAUGACCAGUCAUCGGACAUUUCAAUUAAAUUCUUGGAAGUUUCUUCAAUAACGAAACAUCCUUUCUGCUUGGAAGAAUUCAUUCUAUCGAUACACGUUAUUUCCAUGUCAUUUGAUAAAAGCCUCACGUCUAUGAUGAAAGCAGCAUUCAAGAUGAAAGCGGCCUGAUCGCAACGAAUCAUGAAACGCAAUAAUUUCACCCGCUAAAGUUAUCGACAGCAAGGAAAUAGCAUCGAGUUACGUUUCACUUUGUUGCGGAUUUAAUGGAUUUCACCAGACCAACUUCAUUUUCUCAAUUUAUGAAUUGAACGAACUGUAACCGAUAAAAAAAAGUCAUAAAUUUCAUAUUUCAUGCUUCGAUUCUCAUCCGAUACGAAGGAAUAUUGGAAAUAAAAGCAUACAUCCACGUCACAAGUGGCAGCACCGUUUCCGUUAACCAAUGUGGAUACUUCUAUGUAAACAGAACGAUACAAGUUAAUCCUUCGACGAACAUAUACACAGAAAGACAUCAUGGGUAAAUAUUCUAUCGAGUAGAACAAACAUGGCGGAUCCACUAACGUCUCGUCGCAAAGAAACGAAUAUACGCGCUUGAACGAACAAAAUCUUCUCUCUUAUUUCUCCGUGUAACUUGACCCGUCAAUAUUACAAAGUUAAAAGAAAGGAACAAAGGAAAUGGUACGAGAAAAAGAUAGUACGAAACUGCACCGUUUGAAGUAAUAGGAGAAUCGCUACUACGAACAAUUUUAUUCUAAUGAAGUGAACAAAAGGAAGAUUUAGUUGAAGUCAAUUAUUAAGGAAAGACUUAUAUGCGCCGACUAUGAUGCGUGAUCUUCUAAUUAUCUUUUUGAAUAUAUAUAGUUACAUCUAAUGAUAUAGUUUUUGAUUCUGUACAAUGAAAAUGCUGCUUAAUGCGUCAUUAUUACCGACAACCGGACAAAUUGUACGUGAUUCAAAGCCGUUCGCGUGACACAAAACAUUUUCAUUCACUGAAAGGCGCUUAAUCUUCCAUUACAUUCCAUAUGAUUUAUCGCUUGUUGUUCUCAAUCGUUCGACGAUUCAGAUUUGAAAUAUGCUGAUUCGAUACAUUGACUCACGAAGAUAUUUGAUAUAGAGAGCUUAUCGUAGAAAGCUAUCAUGUAUACGUAUAUUAUCUGAGUUAUACGAUACAUGUUAAGAUUUUAUUAAACAUUGUGACGAAACCAUUAUCAUGAUUAUAUUGGUAAAAUUUGGAAUCAAUCCGAAAAUGUACAUAAAAGUUACAAGGCAUACGCAGCAAACAUGAACUUGAUAAAAAAUAUCAAUAUAAAGCACGAAUUGUUGUAUGAAGUUGUCUUGAAUAUAUAUAAUAAACAAUUCCAGGAAACUUUACCGAUAUAAUCAUAAUAAUCGAGUCUCAUUAUGGUACUAAUGAAAUUUCAAAAUAUUUCGUACACAUAAUAUAUUGACAAAAGGCUGCUGUGUAUGUUCAAAUAUUUGCGCAAGUCGCAAAUUAUAAUCAUCAUAAUUCAAAAUUAAUUCGAACAAUGCGUUUUAUCGUUUACACGUGUGCGUACGUAACACGUUUAUACGUUUUGACAAAUAUUCGUUUGUUUCAGCGCGGAAGUAUUAAUUACGCUAGAAAGCUGUACAGGCGUAGACAAUUUUGUAGGAGUUAUAAAAUUUUGCAAUCCAACGAUUUCCUCCCUGCAUUUCAUAACGAGGAACAGUUAUUUUCCUUCGCUUUUUGUAUAAUUGCCAGACAAUUUCUGGAGCGUAACACGAAUCGCAUACCGGAAUUCAACCGAAGAUGGAAUUCAGCGCUAAAUCGAACGGGAAUAUCAAAAUACCAAAUAUAGUUACUGGAUGAUAAGAUACGAGAGUACCCUGCAUUUUAGUUGUUGCAUGAUUCAGUUCAAGAAACUCGUGAUCAGUGAACUAGUAUGUUAAUUCUUUCAGAAUGCUUUUGAGAUUCUUAUAAUCGAUAGAAACAAGCCUCUAUAUCAGAACCUAGUUCGUGAUGCCUAUAUAUAAUCAAUUAUUUUAGUUUACAUUAAAUCAUAACGAAUAAUAGAAUAACAUAACAUAUAUAUUAUCAGAAUAGUCUAUCAUAUAUUACGAUAGAAUCAUGUAUUAUAAUUUUCAAAUUCUCGUUAUGACAGUUUAUAAAGCUUCGAUUAUCAAUGAUUGCGUCAUUUGCAUGAAUGUUACACAGUUAACCAUCAGAAACGGAUUUGUUCCGUUCUGAUAUUAAAAUCGAGUAUGAAACGAGUUCCCAGCAAAGGGCGAAAGGGAAAGGUUCCAGGAGUUACGGGACUACUACGUGAGGCACGAUUCGCGAUCGCUUAAUUCCUCUAAAUUGCAUGGAAUUGAGGGGAAUAAUUUUCUCCAUUCUUGGCACCGACCAAUUGUACGGGAGGAAGAACGGCGACCAUCGUGGACGACGACAUGCAACAACGCACCCCAGGGUCACGCACACCAUGUGCGCGAAUAAAAGAAGACAGUUAGAGGACCCAGAGAAAGGGAGACCAUAGGACGAAGGGGAACAGAAAGCGAAAGGGAUGGAGAGUGCGAGGAGGACGAACGAAAAGGGAGCGAUGAAGUAAAAACAUAAAACAAAGAAGUCGAAGAAAAUAGAGAGGGCAGAAACUGAGAGAAAGUUGGAAAGAGAACAAGCAUAUAGCUGUUCGAGCACUUGAGAAAACCGAUAAUACUAACCAUCGUAUUAUCAAGUAUAUAGUAAAAAUAGUUCCACAAAAUAAAAAUUGAUAGAUCGCCAUUGAUUAAUUAAAUCAGUAUUAUUAAUCAUUGAUGUUAUUAAACCUUUGUUCUUCGGACUGUAGUUCAACUCGACUUUCGACCAUCGAGUCCUCUGAACGCCGCGAUCCCUCUACAAACCAGACCGUGAGAGAACGCACUGAACCGGGAGGAAGCACGCGUAAGUGUGCGUGAAGGGACAAGUAUAAAAGAGAAGCGAAAAUAUAAAAGAGAGUAAGUACGACGAAGAGCGUAAGAGAUUUAUAUACGUAGUGACAAGACCCGUGUAUUAACAAGAGAUCGCAUGAACAUGGAUGAACCCGUAUAAAAAAAUACGUAGAAGAAAAAAGAAAUGACUGGAUAUCGUUUAUGCGAAGCAGUAUCGCCCAGUCAUUUCAAUUGCUAUUACGUAUUGUUACGUGAUAGAUGGCAGUCGGAUAGGUUUACCUGCAGGAGGAGCGUGGUCGUCGGUCGUUCAAUCGAUCGACAGGGAAGACAUCAAGGCGCCUGCGAAACCAUAACCUCCAAGCAAAAUCGCAUGCACGAAUCUCGCGUGACUUGAUAUAUACACACAUAUAUAUAUAUAUAUCAAAGUGAAGUUGAUUCAACACGCAGCGAAAGUGCAGUCCGGCUGUCUGACGAUGUUCAUGUUCGUACCGCAAUUUCUGCGUACAGGUUUUGGUUAGGUUAAUACUCGCACGUCUAGCAAUGAAUCCUUUUAAACUUUAGACCCAGAAAUUAGUUUACAAAACUUUAAGAUUUCUGGUUUCUUUAAAUCUUUUGUGAUUAAUUACAUUCCACUGACAAUUUCAAGAUAAGAUCCGGAUUAGCAGAUAAGACAGAUUAAUUUAUGUAAAUAUGUAUACAUGUGUAUGCAGUCGAAAUCCGAUUAAGUGUAUACAAGUGUCAAGACGAAAUUUUUGAAGAGACUUUCUUUCUUACUGAAAUCGUUAAUAUGAAUAUCGAUCCAAGAAUGCAAAGGUUUGUCGUUAAAGCUAGCAAUCAACGGAGAUUAUAGAGAAAUAGAAAACGAAAGUCCAUCAAUAGCUUAACAUGGGCGUAAUUGCAUAAAUAAUAAUAAAUAUUAGAAUUACAAAGCGUGAGUCUAAAAAAGACUCAGCGGUGGUAGUGCGUUGGCUUUCAUAGGAGCAGCCAACAUCGUGGCAUCGGGUGGGAAUUAAAACAGCAUGUUCGAAUCGAUUCGACAUAUCCUACUCGUCUAAUUUCUUUCCAACGAACGUCAUUUAUCUUCCCGCACGGAGAGAUGUGAGCCGUUUAUCUGGUCACGCGUUUGCAUCUGCUAUAAAUAAAUGCCCAAUCAAACAUCGAUGCAAUACUAUUAAUGACUUUAUACUUCAAAACAUUACCCAAUUUUUCCGAUUUUCUGAAACAUUAAUGUGAUGAAUAAUUGAAAUAAAUUACCAAUUACAUCGGAGAUGACCUUCAUUUCCAAUGCCCAUUGAUAACUUUCAUUGGAUCCAAUGUAAGUUACAUUAUAGAAUUUCAGAAACUCUUUUUAAUACUUCUCAUUAAAUUAAAAUUGACCGACGUCUUCUUGCUCUUAAGUCAUCACCGUGGGACUUACGGUCAGUAUGACGUUAACCCAUGACAAUUAAUAUGCUUCUAAGUAGGAACGCAUUACCCCCAAUUAUCGCUGCUAAGACUUCCAUGCAGCUUCCUUAAGCGUUUAUAAGAAAUAUAGCGACGAUUAUUUCCAGUCUACUCUAUACUCGUCAUCAGCAACGAACUAUAAACUAUAACUGAAAACGUUCUGCUACAUUGAUUUUAUAAAAAAAAAAAUAUUUUAAUUAACCAUCACUUUCUAUGCAAAAUAGAAGUAAAUUUCAACUUCUUAAUAAGAUCUGGAAUAAGAUAUUGCUGGUCACGUGACGUGCGGUAGGCAUAGUGGGGCGUCGUUGUAGGUAGUAUAAUUAUUGGUACAAAGGGUCAAAAUACGACUAGUAUUUAAGGAGUGGGAUACACGCACCUAGUCGCAGAACAGGCUGCGGCAAUCUUCGGCUAAAUGAAGCAUACAUCAGACGUCUUCAUGACGUAUGAGGCGUCCAACGAUUUGUUUACGAGUCACUCUCCAAUCGGAACUCUUUGUUUUCGUUGUUGUGUUGAGCGCAAAUCGAGGAACUAACCUCAACGUUUGUAUAUAUCAACCGAUUAAAUUACGACGAAACGAUCAUGAACCAUGAUACCUAUCUACGGGUUCUCUACAGCGAACGAUGAACGAGUAUUAUUCUAGAUAAUUCUUCUAGCAUACGUAUAUACAAAAAUAGUAAUUUAAAAUUCGAAUUAAUAUGCACAAAACAAUCUGUAAUUCAAUGUUCCAUCGACAUUUCAAUGAUAUUAGUUAGAAAAUAUUUUAACAGUUAUAAGCGUAGCGGAAAAGAAAUUUUUGAAAUUGAACGACCCACGAGAUGUCAUGAUUUCUUGUAGGUCACCAUCGCGCGUUGAAAGAAUGGAAAAACACGAGGCACAGAAACAGCAUGGAAAACAUAUCAGCAAGCAAUAAUUAUUUUGCACGAUAGAUGACCCCGCCGUCAUCAUGGAGUUAUCAAUUGUUUUCAAACUGGGCGAGAAUACUGAUACAGAAGCUCUUUGUUAUUUUUUAUCGUCUUCGUUGCAACCACCAUAUGUGCGCGAGUCCCGAUCAAGACGAAUCGCUUCGUAAAGGGUGGUUUCCCUAGCUUUUUCUAUGCACCAGGCAUUGACCUCGAUGAAUGUUGAAGCCCGCGAUAACAUGUGCCACAUUUCUGAAGGGAAUUAAUUGAAGCCAAGAUAAAAUGAACGGAUAAUAAAUUGACCUUUACGAGAAAACUCUAGAAAACUAUCACAAUUGUCAGUCACGCUUUCUUGUAUGAUACAAUACACAUAUGCAAUUUGAGUCAUGAAAAUCAAUACAUAUAGAAAAUAUUUACGAAUAUAUUACAUGUAUUAUAGAAACUAUUUUGAAAUUUCAAUAAAAUAUGACUGCCAAGAUUAAAUCGGUAAAGUUCGAAACAAAACAAAAUGUACGAGGACAAAAUGUACGAGAUAUGUAUUUACAGAGGAAGCAUACGUUUCGCAGAGAUCCCAAAAUUAUUUAAAUAGUCGAUUAUCCAGUAUAUUAGAUUCAUAAGAAUUUAUUAGAUUAUUAAAUUUAUAUGGAUUUAGUUAGAUUUAUUUCUAUAAAUGUUCAAAUACUUCCGUAAGCACUGACAUGAUAAAUUAAAACCUAGUAGCAUAUAUUUAAAGCGCAAUUUCUAAAAACAUGGUUUGUCCUUCAUGCCCUUAAUGUCAAUUUCCAUGAGCUCUACUCUGGCUAUCAGAGGGACACCCAUCAAUCCUCAUUCCCACGAGUUCCUGCCUAACCAUCGAUUCCUUCAAAUAGAUCAAUCCUGUCCACAAUUGAAACCCUCACGUGGUUCGUCAUCUCCCCUCUGCAUGCCUUACUGCAUUUGUAUUCGACUAUACAACGUGGUAUAUCACUAGUAGCGUAUACAUACUAUUCCAGACCAGAAGAGGGGAAGGUUAAUUUGCUGCCAGGCAUAGCUUGGGCACAGGACUGAAAAUAGAUCCUUCAUUCUAACACCAAAUGUGUCUUUGCUUUCAAAGGACACAGGAAACUGGGGAACAAAAUUUUUACUCCCUACUGUUUCCUUUUCUAUUUCGGCCAUUGCCGCUGCUGUUAAGUACUUCUUCGAAUUUGAUACAGGAUUAUUGUUAGUGCUGAUCCGCAAGUGGUGGCCAUCUUUCGACGAGAAUAUUGAUUAGAGUAGUCGUCGGGCAAACAAAAGAAUUCCAACAUAGUAAUUCGAUAAGCCACUUCCGUUUCGCUUUACAGUCUUCGGAUGUAACGUUUGUUCUUGAAUACUUUUUGCUUCUAGAUUAGGUAAUCUACCUUUUUAGGUUACUUUAGUUUCCAGUCCACGAUUCGAACGAGGUUAAUUACGUAGUUAGGUCUAUUGUAGGUGAUAGUCAUUUUCGAAUACUAAAGACAGGGAGAAAGAAUUUGUCACGACCUGAAUAGGCCAAUUGAUUAGAGUAGCCCACCGGGAAACGAAAGAUCCGGGUUUGUAUCCAGGGGUUCGGUUAAUUCGUCGCAUACUGUAUGUAUCAUUUCUUCUGCAACUGGUGACCUCUACGUGUUACAAAAUCAGUUUAUAACGACGGUUAAAAAGAGAGAAGAUAAAGUUCAACGUCCUGUUUUUGAGCCAAAAGCUACAAUAUGCUACAUACUUUGGAAGUUUAAUUAUAAACAGCUGUAUAUUACAUUAAUGCUAAUAUGUUAACAUAUGGUAGCACGUAUUAUAAAGAACAUCUAUUCAAUGGAAAUAUAUGUGUGCUGACGUUUAAUAAGAGAGUGGAUUAACAAAUUCUAUCCGAACAAUAUGUGUCCAGCUUAAAUAGACAACGAAUGGACAUGGUCCACCAGCGAUAGAAGAUUACGAACAAAGGGAAAAGCGGAAAUCAUGUGCCACCGCGUAAAUCAUCCGUGAAUACGCUGCAUCACGUCUAAUUACACGGGACACUUACUUUCCUCUGAUCCUGAACAUGAGAAAUGCACGAGUUAAUGUCAAAAAUUAAUAGUACCAUUAAACAUUUUCAUAAUUAAACAAGGACAGCUAGAUGUUUAAAAGAUAUUUAUUUUAAAGAUAUCCGAAAUAAAUUAUUAAUCUUCUUACUAUUAUCGGCUACAUAACAUUAAAGAUUAUUCGAAGGUUAACUACCGAGAAUAAUGUAAAUAAAUUACUAAUUUUUGUAUUAUUAUUGACUAUAUUUAAUAUAAAAUAUUUGUUUUGAGGUUAAUCGUAUAGGGAAUAUUGUAUAGGGAAUUAUUAUUGACUAUAUUUAAUAUAAAAUAUUUGUUUUGAGGUUAAUUGUAUAGGGAAUAAUGAAAGUAGUAAAUUAAAAAAAUGUUUCUAUUAUUGGCACGUUUAUAAAUAUUUCAUAGGUAUAAUCUAUUAGAACACCCGGUACAUGACUGACCAGAUGUAGACGCGAAGAAUUGAAACGGUAAGAACAGCUGCGGUUCCAAACGCGAGCUGUUAUUGUUUUUCUGACUCAUGAGUGGCAAUAACGGAAUGUCAACAGAAGUGUCGCUUCUGUUCAACUGCGAACUAUUUUCCGACGUACUUUCAAAGCAACUGUGUUUGACAGCCUUUAAGAAGAACCAUUAUUUCGCAGUAUAUUGCCGAUCAGUAAUAUCUAUAGUAGACAGUAAAGAGCUACAUGUUCUGCGAAAUACAAAUCCCCCUACAAGUUAAGAAAUUAUUGAGAAGAGAAGAAAGAUAUGAAUUCGAAAGAUAGGAAAGGUAGAAAUGACAUAACCUAUUGUUCGACGAAAGCUUUAAAUUGAAAUUGUAACGUACAAUUUUUAAUUUAUUUUUGACAAUAAGUAAUGAUUUUUGUCGACAAUAUUUUAAAAAAAAUACAAACGGAUCGAUAUUGUAGAAAAUAAUUUAUAUCCGACUGAAAGAGCAUUUGCUGAAUCCCGAAGUUCAGUCUGAAGAGUGGGAUUCAGCUGUAAUAGGGGUAGGGGGUUCAUGGUGUUCCAUGAAUUUUGUGCGCAUGCAUCCGUAAUCCGUGUGCACUGCGUCUGUACGUGUUUGUGCGUUUGUGUGUGUGUGGGAGGGGAUGUAGAAAAUACGGGUGUGGUUCGAUCAAUACGAACAUCCCAUGGAUCCAUCGGUGCGUGCCUCACACAGGUAUACACGUUUGUUUGAGGUGAUUCACCUCAAAUUGUGACCGUCUAUAAAAGUUAUUUCAGUUUAAAAUCCUACCUUUAACUCCUUAUCAUUACGUAAAAUAUAUAUCUUCGAGAGUUAACAAAUCUUUAAGAUAAAGUUGCAACGCUCAAUACCUGCUAUACUCAAAUAUUGAUAAUAGUAAUAAUAUUGACAGAAGUCAAUUUUUCUAAUAAUUAUUGUAGCUAUUAUAUAUUGUAUUGUAUAUUGUAUUGUAUUAUAUAUUGUAUUAUAUAUUGUAAUAGAGGAAGGUAAUAAAUUUUGAGGUUAAGAGAUCAUAAAGUGUUCGAAACCUAUAUAUUAUGAUUAUGAUCGUAUUUAUUACAUUCUAGAAAUUAUCAACAACUUUAUUAUUACAAAGGAAGAAAUGUAACGAACAGAUGUUCGACAAAGUUAUUUUUAAACCUAACCUAUAGGACGUGUUUGUGUGGGUCUCGCGCAGAAAAAUCGUCAGUAAAACCCGACGGAAAUGAGGCUUGCACGGAGAAGAGAUUACGGUAUAUCGACUGUUGAAUGGUAUCCGUUCAGUUUCCCAUAGCCCCGAUAUUAAGACCUCGUUAAUGUGAUAAAGCCGGUUAGUCAGAUAUAAUGGCGCCUUUCAUUAAGCACGUUGAAAGGUUGCUUGGUAAAGUUGGUGUACAAAUACCGAAUAUACAUAUAUUCCUAUCGUGUAAUCUAAUAUACGUUUUGUCUUGUGUAUUGUGAGACAUAAAGUGAGUUAUGCCCACGACUAAUUUCGAGGUUUCGUUUGAACAGCAAAAUUAAGUGUUCCUAUAAGUACUUAAACGUAUUAAGGCGAGUACACAUUGGCAUAACUUUCUUUCACUAUUUUAUACAUAUAUCAUAAUAUGUAUAUAUACAUAAAGGUUAUAAAAGUUUUCUUUACUUAAA